RNAcentral lists this ribosomal RNA (335 nucleotides) under Xenodon severus. RNAcentral describes it as "partial small subunit ribosomal RNA". The record is from RNAcentral. Lineage: Eukaryota; Metazoa; Chordata; Lepidosauria; Squamata; Dipsadidae.
AAAGACUUGACGGUACUUCACACCUACCUAGAGGAGCCUGUCUAACAACCGAUACCCCACGAUCAACCCCACCCACUUUAGCCACACAGUCUAUAUACCGCCGUCGCCAGCUUACCUUGUAAAAGCAAUAAAGUGAGCAUAAUAAACCACCCCUUAACACGACAGGUCGAGGUGUAACUCAUAAGUGGGUAAAAGAUGGACUACAUUUUCUAACACAGAAUACACGAAUGAGCUAUGAAACUAUAAACUGAAGGAGGAUUUAGUAGUAUGCUAAGAAUAGAAAACCUAACAGAAACUAAUGCAAUGAAGUGCGUACACACCGCCCGUCAUCCCUG